Acanthoscelides obtectus is the source of this 73-nucleotide non-coding RNA. The record is from the annotation of a GenBank genome assembly. Lineage: Eukaryota; Metazoa; Arthropoda; Insecta; Coleoptera; Chrysomelidae.
GCCACUGUAGCUCAAAUGGCAAAGCACUGGCUCUGUAAAGCAGGAUUCGUGAGUUCAAUCCUCACAUGAGGCA